UAUCGGGGCGGAUGCCUUAAAUGCAGUCGAACGGCAGCACGGACUUCGGUCUGGUGGCGAGUGGCGAACGGGUGAGUAAUGUAUCGGAACGUACCUUUCAGUGGGGGAUAACGUAGCGAAAGUUACGCUAAUACCGCAUAUUCUGUGAGCAGGAAAGCAGGGGAUCGCAGGACCUUGCGCUGAUUGAGCGGCCGAUAUCAGAUUAGCUAGUUGGUGGGGUAAAGGCCUACCAAGGCUACGAUCUGUAGCGGGUCUGAGAGGAUGAUCCGCCACACUGGAACUGAGACACGGUCCAGACUCCUACGGGAGGCAGCAGUGGGGAAUUUUGGACAAUGGGGGCAACCCUGAUCCAGCCAUGCCGCGUGAGUGAAGAAGGCCUUCGGGUUGUAAAGCUCUUUCGGCCGGGAAGAAAUCGCAUAGGUUAAUACCCUGUGUGGAUGACGGUACCGGAAUAAGAAGCACCGGCUAACUACGUGCCAGCAGCCGCGGUAAUACGUAGGGUGCGAGCGUUAAUCGGAAUUACUGGGCGUAAAGCGUGCGCAGGCGGUUUCGUAAGACAGAGGUGAAAUCCCCGGGCUCAACCUGGGAACUGCCUUUGUGACUGCGAAGCUAGAGUACGGCAGAGGGGGGUGGAAUUCCACGUGUAGCAGUGAAAUGCGUAGAGAUGUGGAGGAACACCGAUGGCGAAGGCAGCCCCCUGGGCCGAUACUGACGCUCAUGCACGAAAGCGUGGGUAGCAAACAGGAUUAGAUACCCUGGUAGUCCACGCCCUAAACGAUGUCAACUAGGUGUUGGGUGGGUAAAACCAUUUAGUACCGUAGCUAACGCGUGAAGUUGACCGCCUGGGGAGUACGGCCGCAAGGUUAAAACUCAAAGGAAUUGACGGGGACCCGCACAAGCGGUGGAUGAUGUGGAUUAAUUUGAUGCAACGCGAAAAACCUUACCUACCCUUGACAUGUUCAGAAUCCCGGAGAGAUUUGGGAGUGCCCGAAAGGGAGCUGGAACACAGGUGCUGCAUGGCUGUUGUCAGCUCGUGUCGUGAGAUGUUGGGUUAAGUCCCGCAACGAGCGCAACCCUUGUCGUUAAUUGCCAUCAUUUAGUUGGGCACUUUAACGAGACUGCCGGUGACAAACCGGAGGAAGGUGGGGAUGACGUCAAGUCCUCAUGGCCCUUAUGGGUAGGGCUUCACACGUCAUACAAUGGUCGGUACAGAGGGUUGCCAAGCCGCGAGGUGGAGCCAAUCCCAGAAAGCCGAUCGUAGUCCGGAUUGCAGGCUGCAACUCGCCUGCAUGAAGUCGGAAUCGCUAGUAAUCGCGGAUCAGCAUGUCGCGGUGAAUACGUUCCCGGGUCUUGUACACACCGCCCGUCACACCAUGGGAGCGGGUUCCGCCAGAAGUAGGUAGCCUAACCGCAAGGGGGCGCUUUCCACGGCGGUUUCAUGGUAU
RNAcentral lists this ribosomal RNA (1445 nucleotides) under Dechloromonas sp. B5. Its description in RNAcentral is "bacterial SSU rRNA". It matches the Rfam family "Bacterial small subunit ribosomal RNA". The record is from RNAcentral. Lineage: Bacteria; Pseudomonadati; Pseudomonadota; Betaproteobacteria; Rhodocyclales; Azonexaceae.